RNAcentral lists this non-coding RNA (20 nucleotides) under Mus musculus (house mouse). The record is from RNAcentral. Lineage: Eukaryota; Metazoa; Chordata; Mammalia; Rodentia; Muridae.
UCAGAAGGUCUUCUGCUGGC